Molecule: unclassified non-coding RNA, 402 nt
Filed under: soil metagenome
Description: partial contains 5.8S ribosomal RNA, internal transcribed spacer 2, and large subunit ribosomal RNA
Rfam family: 5.8S ribosomal RNA (bases 1-120)
Source: RNAcentral
GAUGAAGAACGUAGCGAAAUGCGAUAAGUAAUGUGAAUUGCAGAAUUCAGUGAAUCAUCGAAUCUUUGAACGCACCUUGCGCCCUUUGGACUUCUGAAGGGCAUGCCUGUUUGAGUAUCAUGAACACCUCAACUCCUUAUGGUCUUCCAUGAUGAGCUUGGACUUUGGGGGUUUUGCUGGCCUACAGUCAGCUCCUCUAAAAUAAAUCAGCUUACCGGUGUUUGGUGGGUAUCAUGGGUGUGAUAACUAUCUACGCUCGUGGUUUUCCACCAGGUAACCUUCAGCAGUGGAGGUUCACUGGAGCUCAUAGAUGUCUCUCCUCAGCGAGGACAGCCCUUUGAAUGUUUGAUCUCAAAUCAGGUAGGACUACCCGCUGAACUUAAGCAUAUCAAAAGCGGAGGA